UGCUGGAAACGCUUCCUCUCGGUGGGGGCGGAGACCAGGGGCGCCCUGUCUCCCCCUUCCCGGGUAUGAAUCAGGAAGAGAAAAGAAAGGCGAGGCUGAUCAGCUGCUACCCCGCCGGAGGGUUAAUUUUAUUGGGCAGCUCCCAGCACUCGGGGAGAACAAAGAGUUGCUUUGGGGCAUGUCAAGAGCGCUUUUCCAUUUAGGGAAAGUGACUCUCUAGCUCUGGGAGAUUUUUUUUUUCCCCCCUUAAAUCUUCUGCGGUGGUUUCACCUCCCAAGCCCUCCUUGCCUCAGGAAAAGAGAUCAUAAAAGGCUUUAUGUUGCCUUGCUUUAGCUGCUUUGAAAAAGUUCAGCAGGGUCAGGAUGGGUUAAUAUUUCUAAAGCAGGCCUCCGGGAAAUCCCAGGACUUCUGGAUUUCCAAGAGGCUCUUAGGAAUCCCAGGACGUGUCAAAGAUGAGAGUUAAGAUGCUACUCGAUUAGAACCAAAAAGAUCCACGAUUGAAUCAACUCCCUGCCAUGGUGGUACCACUACCUGAUUUGGAACCAGUCAUUCUCUCUGCAUCAUAAUAAGAACAUUUCUAAGAGUGGUGGAUGUAGGAAAUUAACAUACACAUAUUGUGAUCAAUUGUGGUCAGUUGAGGAUCCCCUGUAUAAUAAUGUUCAACUAUGAAGAUCAAUAGCGGAGUUGAACUGCUGUAACUCUUAAUCCAACUUUUCCAAAUCCCAACUUUGGAAGGAUUUACCUCUUAGAAACAAUGUGUUAAAUCUGCAUUACUUUGUAAAAACUGUUAUUUUGUCCCCCAUACCCAAAGCAGUAUAUCAAUUAUGUAUGUACAUUAAACAUAUAACCUGAGGAUGGGGUAACUUUGGCCCAAAGACAUGCUUAACUAUAUUCCCCCAAAAUUUAUUUACCAUUCCAAUCAUCUACUCUGGAGCUCACAAUCCUAAAUUUGGGCAGCUGAGAACCAUAUCAGUUACAGGGGGUUGAACUAAAGCAAUGUUUCUUCUUUUUUUUUAAUUGUAGUGUGUCUAUUUUAGGACCUACCAUAGUAUUCAUUUGUUCUGUAACUAAAAAUAACAGAAAACUGCAGAAAUGAACAGACCCUGUCCCAAAAAACAGAUUUGAUAACCUCAGUUGAGGUGCGCAGUAAGUUGUUGGGUUGUUAAGAUUAUUGCACAAGAUUAUUGCACAAGGCAUAAACUAUAUAUGAAAAUUAAAUCUAAGCCAACUCUGAUCUUUAAACCUUUUGCUUCCUUUUAAACUGCUACGUAAGAAAGAGAUUCAACUAUUGGCCCUCCUCGUCUUUUCCCAGCAAAGUUAGAAAUUGAGGACAGGAUCUCCAUUUGAUCAUCCAUCCCACUGGCUACAUUCACAAGCAAAUCCUUCAUUACAGUUAUUGUUGUGGUCCGCCAGCAGCCUGUGAAGCUGACAGCGGAGUCGGACAGCGAUGAGGCAGAGGAAGAACAUGGGCCAGUCCUGGAGGCUGAGGAAGGCCCGGAUGAGGGCUCUGCGUCAGAGACAGAGAUAGGGCCAGGGCCAUCAGGGAGUGAGGUGCCGACUCCAGAGCCUGAUAGGAGUGAGGCAGAGGAACAGGAGGAGCCUAUUCCUAAUGCACGCAUGAGAAGACCUGCCAGAAGGCAAGAACAGCUCAAACAAAGAGGACAACUCGGGAGUAGGGCCAAGAGAUGAUUGGCCAUCUCCCAUAAGGCUUAAAACAGACCAGCAAUGUCGUUUGGGCUUUGCCAGAAAACAAGGUUGGUAGCUUCGUCUUCUUCUUUGUCUACGUCUUGUAUUUAUUUUUGUAUCUGUGACUUCUGAACGUUUGCCAAGAAAGGUCUUUGGCAGUUUGCCUCAUUGGACUAAGGUUUGCGAUAGGACUAAGAAAUUUGUGUUGGGAAGAAUUUGCUUUAAUUUAGUUGAAUGACGCUGGGAAUGAAGUAAUUCUCAGGUGUUCGAAUAAAGUUUGUAUGUUUUUUCACU
This is a non-coding RNA of Pantherophis guttatus, 1980 nucleotides long. Lineage: Eukaryota; Metazoa; Chordata; Lepidosauria; Squamata; Colubridae. The record is from RefSeq and is a predicted model, not a curated record.